GUCCCUGACCCAGCUGAAGCUCUUCCCCAGGCACAUGAGGAGGAGGAUGGUCUGGGGCCACACCCAGGGACAAGAGGUGGGGGUGGGGGAGGGUUCCAUGUCUCCUCUCUGCAGACAGACCAGAUAGACAGCAGUGCCACCGAGUGUUAUCAUCAGAGCUGGAAACAUGAAGGCUCUGCUGUGACCCUGACACCAGCAGCAUGUCAGCCCUGUGUCCCCACACACCCUCCCAUCCUCUGCUCUGCAGAACAUCUCUUCUCAUUGCCACCACCUUCCCUCUCCUUUCAGAUGUCCCUGUCCUGCCCGGAGGUUACCCAGCAGAUGGCUAUGAUGAUGCUGGGGAGGUUUCUUACCCUGGGGAGGAUCCUGUCCCUGGGCAGAGGGACUGGGAAGUGCCCAGGACACCAGAGGAAGGAGAUGGGCCCAGGGAUGCAGCCACAGGGGGAAGCCUGCACUCCCGGAGAAGUGCUGGGGUCCCUGGGGCUGAUGGAGACACCUCGUCACUUUUCCUGGACACCACGGGCUAUGACGAUGUUGAAGAGGUGUCUCUGGCAUAUCCCCAUGAGGACACCCAGGAUGUGACACCAGAGCCCCAUGCACAAGAGUUCCAGAGCCCCAGGCCAGCAGAGCCCAGCCCUGCUGAGCAGCUGGGUGCAGCCGGGAGGGAGGAGAGCUCAGUGACCCUGGGAGAGCCGUGAGUGCCAGGGAAUGGUCUCCCUUUUCCAGCAGGCAGCAGACACACAUGGGUAUUUCCCCUCUUGGUAUUCCCCUAUUUUUAUGCUGUGUGUUUGUAUUUCCUCAUAUUAAAACCCUCUGGGGGCUUUGCCCCAGAUCAAGUGCUUCCCUGCCCAGGUGUCAGGGUGUCUCCCUGAGGUGGAUGGAGGGGAGAAGAGCUCAAAUAUUCAGCGGUUUGGAAGGAGCUCAUCCUAGAGCCAGCAGGAUCGGGGUCUGGCUUUGGGGCUGACAAAGCCCCUGGUCCCUGGACACUAUUCCUACUGACAGAGACAUUUCCAUCCUGCCAGGCACAGGCAGUUUCCAGACAAAGUGGAUCUCUGGGAAUCCCCAAGAGACACUCCCUUGCAGUGCCCACCUUCUGCUGCGUUGGGCCCCCACGGAGAUACCUCAGCUGCAAGAGCUGAACAGGGAGAUGUCUUGGACCCUUGGGCAGGACUUGGCACCAGCUCCUGCUGGUGUGUCCCCACAGCCCUCCAGGUCUUCCCCAGCAGGCUCCUCUGCUGCAGGCUGGGAGGUGCUUUUGGUAGUGGGAUGGUGGGCUGGAACACCUAUUGGAGCAUCUAUUUAACCCCUUUGGGUCAGCUGUCCUGGCUGUGUAUAGUCUCCUUUGGGUGAAGAACUGGCUGGAGGGCCAUGCCCAGUGGUUUGUGGUUAAUGGAGUUAAGUCCAGUU
This 1407-nucleotide long non-coding RNA is filed under the name Anas platyrhynchos platyrhynchos (common mallard). RNAcentral's name for it is "lncRNA (ENSAPLG00000025118.1)". Lineage: Eukaryota; Metazoa; Chordata; Aves; Anseriformes; Anatidae. The record is from RNAcentral.